RNAcentral lists this ribosomal RNA (1032 nucleotides) under Apilactobacillus kunkeei. RNAcentral's name for it is "bacterial SSU rRNA". It matches the Rfam family "Bacterial small subunit ribosomal RNA", at positions 429 to 1453 of the family's 1533-position model. The record is from RNAcentral. Lineage: Bacteria; Bacillati; Bacillota; Bacilli; Lactobacillales; Lactobacillaceae.
AACUCUGUUGUUACAGAAGAACAAGUGUUAGAGUAACUGUUAACACUUUGACGGUAUUUAACCAGAAAGCCACGGCUAACUACGUGCCAGCAGCCGCGGUAAUACGUAGGUGGCAAGCGUUGUCCGGAUUUAUUGGGCGUAAAGCGAGCGCAGGCGGUUUUGUAAGUCUGCUGUGAAAGCCCUCAGCUCAACUGAGGAAGUGCAGUGGAAACUACAAAACUUGAGUACAGAAGAGGAAAGUGGAACUCCAUGUGUAGCGGUGAAAUGCGUAGAUAUAUGGAAGAACACCAGUGGCGAAGGCGGCUUUCUGGUCUGUUACUGACGCUGAGGCUCGAAAGCAUGGGUAGCGAACAGGAUUAGAUACCCUGGUAGUCCAUGCCGUAAACGAUGAAUACUAGGUGUUGGAGGGUUUCCGCCCUUCAGUGCCGCAGCUAACGCAUUAAGUAUUCCGCCUGGGGAGUACGACCGCAAGGUUGAAACUCAAAGGAAUUGACGGGGGCCCGCACAAGUGGUGGAGCAUGUGGUUUAAUUCGAUGCUACGCGAAGAACCUUACCAGCUCUUGACAUCUUCUGCCAACCCAAGAGAUUGGGCGUUCCCUUCGGGGACAGAAUGACAGGUGGUGCAUGGUUGUCGUCAGCUCGUGUCGUGAGAUGUUGGGUUAAGUCCCGCAACGAGCGCAACCCUUAUUAUUAGUUGCCAGCAUUUAGUUGGGCACUCUAGUGAGACUGCCGGUGAUAAACCGGAGGAAGGUGGGGACGACGUCAAAUCAUCAUGCCCCUUAUGAGCUGGGCUACACACGUGCUACAAUGGAUGGUACAACGAGUCGCGAAACCGCGAGGUCAAGCUAAUCUCUUAAAGCCAUUCUCAGUUCGGAUUGCAGGCUGCAACUCGCCUGCAUGAAGUUGGAAUCACUAGUAAUCGUGGAUCAGCAUGCCACGGUGAAUACGUUCCCGGGCCUUGUACACACCGCCCGUCACACCAUGAGAGUUUGUAACACCCAAAGACGAUGGGGUAACCUUUUAGGAGCUAGU